RNAcentral lists this ribosomal RNA (464 nucleotides) under uncultured bacterium. RNAcentral describes it as "partial 16S ribosomal RNA". It matches the Rfam family "Bacterial small subunit ribosomal RNA", at positions 339 to 795 of the family's 1533-position model. The record is from RNAcentral.
CUACGGGUGGCUCCAGUGGGGAAUAUUGCACAAUGGGCGCAAGCCUGAUGCAGCCAUGCCGCGUGUAUGAAGAAGGCCUUCGGGUUGUAAAGUACUUUCAGUGGGGAGGAAGGGAGUAAAGUUAAUACCUUUGCUCAUUGACGUUACCCGCAGAAGAAGCACCGGCUAACUCCGUGCCAGCAGCCGCGGUAAUACGGAGGGUGCAAGCGUUAAUCGGAAUUACUGGGCGUAAAGCGCGCGCAGGCGGUUUGUUAAGUCAGAUGUGAAAUCCCCGGGCUCAACCUGGGAACUGCAUCUGAUACUGGCAAGCUUGAGUCUCGUAGAGGGGGGUAGAAUUCCAGGUGUAGCGGUGAAAUGCGUAGAGAUCUGGAGGAAUACCGGUGGCGAAGGCGGCCCCCUGGACGAAGACUGACGCUCAGGUGCGAAAGCGUGGGGAGCAAACAGGAUUAGAUACCCGAGUAGUC